This 488-nucleotide ribosomal RNA is filed under the name uncultured bacterium. Its description in RNAcentral is "partial 16S ribosomal RNA". It matches the Rfam family "Bacterial small subunit ribosomal RNA", at positions 28 to 507 of the family's 1533-position model. The record is from RNAcentral.
GACGAACGCUGGCGGCGUGCUUAACACAUGCAAGUCGAACGCGCCUGUCCUCUGGGUUUCUGGGGGGUGGGUGAGUGGCGAACGGGUGAGUAACACGUGAGUAACCUGCCCCCUUCUUCGGGAUAACGGUCUGAAAGGGCUGCUAAUACCGGGUAUUCACUGGUCUCCGCAUGGGGUCUGGUGGAAAGGUUUUUUUCUGGUGGGGGAUGGGCUCGCGGCCUAUCAGCUUGUUGGUGGGGUGAUGGCCCACCAAGGCUUUGACGGGUAGCCGGCCUGAGAGGGUGACCGGUCACAUUGGGACUGAGAUACGGCCCAGACUCCUACGGGAGGCAGCAGUGGGGAAUAUUGCACAAUGGGCGCAAGCCUGAUGCAGCGACGCCGCGUGAGGGAUGGAGGCCUUCGGGUUGUGAACCUCUUUCGCCCGUGUUCAAGCCGCGACGUGGGUCGUGGUGAGGGUAGUGGGUAAAGAAGCGCCGGCUAACUACGUG